This 377-nucleotide unclassified non-coding RNA is filed under the name Hevea brasiliensis (rubber tree). The record is from RNAcentral. Lineage: Eukaryota; Viridiplantae; Streptophyta; Magnoliopsida; Malpighiales; Euphorbiaceae.
UCUGCACUUCUCAGGCGGCUGUUUCCUGGAAGGAAGGAGGAUGAAGAUUUAUGGGAUUCACCGGCGGUCGGGAAAGGGGAAAUAGCAAGUACAAGCUCAUUUGCAAAUGCUAAGCCAGAUCAUGCAAAGACACGACCUCCUUCAAGGCACAUAGAACAUGUUAUAGCACCAGAAUAUAGGAUGAGCCAGAGUGAUUGCUGUCCCAGUAAUUUCUUUGAUAGGCCAAAGGAGAGAGUUCCCCCAGAGUUGCACUAUGAAGAUGCAGAUAAUAGCCAAAUUUCAAACAACAAAAUAACUAUAAGUUUGUGGGAUCAUAGUGAUUCAUUGCCUUCAUUAUCCUUUGACCAUCAUGGGCUUGCUGAUUUCCUACCAUAUAG